AACGCUGAAAGCAUCUAAGUGUGAAGCCCACCUCAAGAUGAGAUUUCCCAUAGCAUAAGCUAGUAAGACCCCUUGAAGACUACAAGGUUGAUAGGUCAGAGGUGUAAGUGCGGUAACGUAUUUAGCUAACUGAUACUAAUAGGUCGAGGGCUUGACCAAUAUAA
This 164-nucleotide ribosomal RNA is filed under the name Clostridium butyricum. Its description in RNAcentral is "partial 23S ribosomal RNA". It matches the Rfam family "Bacterial large subunit ribosomal RNA", at positions 2767 to 2925 of the family's 2925-position model. The record is from RNAcentral. Lineage: Bacteria; Bacillati; Bacillota; Clostridia; Eubacteriales; Clostridiaceae.